AUUGAACGCUGGCGGCAGGCCUAACACAUGCGAGUCGAACGGUAACAGGGAUCAGCUUGCUGAUUCGCUGACGAGUGGCGGACGGGUGAGUAAUGUCUGGGAAACUGCCUGAUGGAGGGGGAUAACUACUGGAAACGGUAGCUAAUACCGCAUAACGUCGCAAGACCAAAGAGGGGGACCUUCGGGCCUCUUGCCAUCGGAUGUGCCCAGAUGGGAUUAGCUAGUAGGUGGGGUAACGGCUCACCUAGGCGACGAUCCCUAGCUGGUCUGAGAGGAUGACCAGCCACCCUGGAACUGAGACACGGUCCAGACUCCUACGGGAGGCAGCAGUGGGGAAUAUUGCACAAUGGGCGCAAGCCUGAUGCAGCCAUGCCGCGUGUAUGAAGAAGGCCUUCGGGUUGUAAAGUACUUUCAGCGGGGAGGAAGGGAGUAAAGUUAAUACCUUUGCUCAUUGACGUUACCCGCAGAAGAAGCACCGGCUAACUCCGUG
This 490-nucleotide ribosomal RNA is filed under the name uncultured bacterium. RNAcentral's name for it is "partial 16S ribosomal RNA". It matches the Rfam family "Bacterial small subunit ribosomal RNA", at positions 30 to 507 of the family's 1533-position model. The record is from RNAcentral.